RNAcentral lists this ribosomal RNA (434 nucleotides) under uncultured bacterium. RNAcentral's name for it is "partial 16S ribosomal RNA". It matches the Rfam family "Bacterial small subunit ribosomal RNA", at positions 29 to 507 of the family's 1533-position model. The record is from RNAcentral.
AGCGAACGCUGGCGGCAGGCCUAACACAUGCAAGUCGAACGAACCUUUCGGGGUUAGUGGCGGACGGGUGAGUAACACGUGGGAACGUGCCUUUAGGUUCGGACUAACUCAGGGAAACUUGUGCUAAUACCGAAUGUGCCCUUCGGGGGAAAGAUUAAUCGCCUUUAGAGCGGCCCGCGUCUGAUUAGCUAGUUGGUUGAGGUAAUGGCUCACCAAGGCGACGAUCAGUAGCUGGUCUGAGAGGAUGAUCAGCCACAUUGGGACUGAGACACGGCCCAAACUCCUACGGGAGGCAGCAGUGGGGAAGCUUGCGCAAUGGGCGAAAGCCUGACGCAGCCAUGCCGCGUGAAUGAUGAAGGUCUUAGGAUUGUAAAAUUCUUUCACCGGGGACGAUAAUGACGGUACCCGGAGAAGAAGCCCCGGCUAACUUCGUA